GUUUGAUUUGAUGUUAGGAGGGCAAAUCCGCCGAAUUUAAGCAUAUAAUUAAGCGGAAGAAAAGAAAAUAACUAUGAUUCCUUUAGUAACGGCGAGUGAACAAGGACCAGCUCAAACGGUUAAUCCUUCGUUUGGUGCAAACCUUACGACGGAAUUGUCGUUGAAUUAUUCCAUGGAUGCCUUUAAUUUGAGCAAAGUGAGCAGGAAAGCUUCCCCACAGCGGGUGAAAGGCCCAUAGUUCUUUUUAAUUUAUUCAUUGGAAUUUUUCAUGUCGAGUCGUGUUCUUUGAGAUUGGAGCACAAAUACGUGUGAUACAUUUCACAUAAAGCUAAAUAUGUGUAGGAGACCGAUAGCAAACAAGUACCGUGAGGGAAAGAUGAAAUAGUACUCAGGAAUGAGCAAUUAAAUAGUACCUGAAAUCGUUAAGAUGGAACGGAUUAAGAGAGAAAACAAGUAAAGAGGGGAAUUUUUACAUUUUUUUGUUUUAAUUCUCUUCUUUAUUAAAAGAAACAUCAGCGAUAUAAUUUAAUUUCAAUAAAGCAAUCCCCUGAAAUUCAAAAUUUCUUUUAAUUUUGUUUUCACUUUAUCCCCGCACUAAUGGGGGGAAAACUGGCUUUAUUUCUUCAAUUAUUUUUAUUGCUGAGGAAUUUUAAAAUUAUAUGAAUUUUUCUUCUUAUAAUUUAAGUUGUUUCUAUACAGUACUUUCUUAACCCACUCGUCUUGAAACACGGACCAAGGAGUCUAGCAAAUGUGCAAGUGUAUAUGAUUCUUUAAACAUUUAAAUUUUUUUUAAAUAUACGCAUAAUUAAUGUAAUAUGUUUUCUUAUUGUAGAUUUGUGGUGAUUUAUUUCAUAAAUCCCCACUUUGCAUACAAUACCGUUAAGCAAUUAUGCUUUAUUGAGUACGAGCAUAUUUGGUAGGACCCGAGAGGCUUUGAACUAAGCGUGGUGAGAUUGAAGUCAGACGAAAGUCUGAUGGAGGAUCGAGUUGAUACUGACGUGCAAAUCGUUCAUUUCAAUCACGUUUAGGGGCGAAAGACUAAUCGAAAAGCCUAUUAGCUGGUUAUUUUCGAAAGAUCUCUCAGGAUCGCUGGAGUUGAUUAAUAUAAUUUUACCAGGUAGAGAUAAUGAUUAGAGGAAUCAGGGAAAUCGUUUUCCUUGACCUAUUCUCAAACUCCCAAUAGGUAAAAAGGGUAAAAUAACUCAACUGUAUUUUACUCAUAUUAAAUAAAAUAACUCCAAGUGGGCCAUUUUUGGUAAGCAGAACUGGCGAUGAGGGAUGCUCCUAACGCUUGGAUAAGGUGCCUAAAUAUUCGCUCAUGAGAUCCCAUAAAAGGUGUUGGUUCAUAAUGACAGUAGGACGGUGGUCAUGGAAGUCGAAAUCCGCUAAGGAGUGUGUAACAACUCACCUACCGAAUGAACUAGCCCUGAAAAUGGAUGGCGCUAAAGCGGAUUACCGAUACCAAGCCAUAAAAAGAGAAGAAAAAAAAUUAUUUUUUUUUUUAGAAUCUUUUUAUGAGUAGAAAAUCGUGGGGUUUGUGUUGAAGCGAAAUACGUGAGUUUUCGUGGAAAAAAAAAAAAAAAAAAAAAAAAAGGAAGUAGCAACUAUUCAAAUGAGAACUUUGAAGACUGAAGUGGAGAAGGGUUUCUUGUCAACUGUGAUUGAACAAGAGUUAGCCGCUCCUAAGGGAUAGCUGAAAAGUGUUUAAAAGGGGUUAAUUCUCCGUCUCAAAAGGGAAACAGGUUGAUAUUCCUGUGCCAUUAGUAUUAAGAGUUCUAGAGAUGGUAACAUAUAUAUAAAUGAACUCCUUUACAUAGGCUUUACACUCGGGGUGCGUUUUCUUUGCACUUUACCUUUAUAACAAACCUUGGAAUCAAUUUACUUGGAGAAGAGGUUCGUUGAACUCAAUUCAAAAAAUUUAUGUCUGGGUUUUCGGAUUCAGUUCAUAUUUUUUCUGUUUUGUAGCAAUAGUAAUUCGUUUUUAUGAAUUAUCCGAAGUGGUAAGGACUAUCCUUGAAAAAAGGAGGGAACGGCUCUGUAAUCUGGAAUUCUCGGAUUCCAUUUUGCUUUGCUAUGCUCUUAAUACUUGUACGAGCGUACCAACAACCGCAUCAGGUCUCCAAGGUUAACAGCCUCUGGUUAAAUAGAAAAAAGUAGGUAAGGGAAGUCGGCAAAAUAGAUCCGUAACUUCGGGAAAAGGAUUGGCUCUGAGGACAUUAGAAAAGAGAAGAAAAAAAGAGGGUUGAAAAUAAAAUUGCAGACUUAUUUGCUUAUCUUUUCGAUUUGCUUGUAAUCUGCUUUUUCUUUUUCUUCUUUCCUUUUUUCUCCCCCUCUUUUCGCCUUCAUUUUAUUAUAAUUUAUUAUAAUAUUUUGAUACUUAUAAUGUUAACUCAGAACUGAAACGGACAAGGGGAAUCCGACUGUUUAAUUAAAACAUAGCAUUGUGAAAAGCCACAACUGGUAUUAACACAAUGUGAUUUCUGCCCAGUGCUUUGAAUGUCAACUUGAUGAAAUUCAAUCAAGCGCAGGUAAACGGCGGGAGUAACUAUGACUCUCUUAAGGUAGCCAAAUGCCUCGUCANNNNNNNNNNNNNNNNNNNNNNNNNNNNNNNNNNNNNNNNNNNNNNNNNNNNNNNNNNNNNNNNNNNNNNNNNNNNNNNNNNNNNNNNNNNNNNNNNNNUUUUACCCUACUGAUGAAUAUAAUUAUAUUUUUAUAUAUAUAUAGUAUUGUGACAGUAAUCCAACUUGGUACGAGAGGAUUAGUUGGUUCAGACAAUUGGUACAGCAAUUGGUUGACAAACCAGUGUUGCGAAGCUAAGUCUGUUGGAUAAUGGCUGAACGCCUCUUAAGCCAGAAACCAUGCUGAUUAAACAAUACUAUUUCGUUCUUUUUUGUUUCCUUUUUUACUGCUAAUGUAAAAGAGAAAUUAUAUAUGUACCUACUUUUGGUGCAUAAAUAAUCCUAUCACCUUUUUCGUGAGCUGUGAGCUGUGAGCUAGGCAAUAGUUCUUUAACAACAAAAAAGAAUUGCACAAACUGUAGACGACUUUUUUGCCUCAGGGUGCUGUAAACAUGAAAGUAAACUUUGUUUUACGAUCUGUUGAGGCUUAUCCCUAGUGGUAAAGUGUUUUUUGAAACAUAUAAUAGUAUAUAAAUAUGUCUUGCCGUAUUUUUAUAUUAUUAUAUAAUUAUAGAAAUAUUUUAUAAAAUAUUUAUUAUGUAUAGUAUAUUGAUUUUUAUACUUUAUAUGAUUUAUAUUUUAUAAAAAUAAUAACAAUUUUAAAAUAUCAAAAAUUUUUUUAUAUGAAUGGAAUUUUUUCUAAGUAAUAUUUUUAUCUUAUGUUCAAUUGUAUUAAUAUAAUUGCAGAAGCUAUAAAUAUUAUUUAUUAUAUAAAUUCCAAUUUUUAUUUAUAUUUUAAGUAUAUUAUUUUAUAUUCAUAUAUUAUAUAUAUGUUUUUAUUAAUUAUAAUAAAGAAUAUGUUAUAUGAAUAAAAGUAAUAAUACUGAAAAGAACAAUUUUUAAUAAAUCAAUUUUUACUGAUUUUUUAAGUACAUAAUAUAGUUAUUUUUUUUUUUGAAAAUUUCUU
This 3585-nucleotide ribosomal RNA is filed under the name Plasmodium reichenowi. Its description in RNAcentral is "28S ribosomal RNA". The stretch from base 4 to 3128 matches the Rfam family "Eukaryotic large subunit ribosomal RNA". Lineage: Eukaryota; Apicomplexa; Aconoidasida; Haemosporida; Plasmodiidae. The record is from RNAcentral.